This 28-nucleotide non-coding RNA is filed under the name Mus musculus (house mouse). Lineage: Eukaryota; Metazoa; Chordata; Mammalia; Rodentia; Muridae. The record is from RNAcentral.
UGGACAAGCUGAGGGGCAGAUUCUAUGA